Molecule: unclassified non-coding RNA, 329 nt
Filed under: soil metagenome
Description: partial contains 5.8S ribosomal RNA, internal transcribed spacer 2, and large subunit ribosomal RNA
Rfam family: 5.8S ribosomal RNA (bases 1-120)
Source: RNAcentral
GAUGAAGAACGUAGCGAAAUGCGAUAAGUAAUGUGAAUUGCAGAAUUCAGUGAAUCAUCGAAUCUUUGAACGCACAUUGCGCCCCCUGGUAUUCCGGGGGGCAUGCCUGUCCGAGCGUCAUUACAACCCUCAAGCUCAGCUUGGUGUUGGGCCCCGCCGCCCCGGCGGGCCCUAUAGUCAGUGGCGGUGCCGUCCGGCUCCGAGCGUAGUAAUUCUUCUCGCUCUGGAGGUCCGGUCGUGUGCUCGCCAGCAACCCCCAAUUUUUUUCAGGUUGACCUCGGAUCAGGUAGGGAUACCCGCUGAACUUAAGCAUAUCAAUAAGCGGAGGA